CACGGCCCUUACGUCCUGGGCCACACACGUGCUACAAUGGCCGGUACAGAGAGCAGCCACUUACCGAUAAGGAGCGAAUCUAUAAAGCCGGUCACAAUUCGGAUUGGAGUCUGCAACUCGACUCUAUGAAGAUGGAAUCGCUAGUAAUCGGAUAUCACCCAUGAUCCGGUGAAUACGUUCCCGGGCCUUGUACACACCGCCCGUCAAGCCAUGGAAGCUGGGGGUACCUGAAGUCGGGGACCGCAAGGAGCUGCCUGGGUAAAACUAGUGACUGGGGCUAAUGCGUACAAGGUAACCGAAAAUCCCGCGGCCAUGGGGGCCGGGAGCAUGCGACGUCGGGCCCAAUUCGGCCUAUAUUGAGUCUCAUUAACAAUGGACGCAAGUCUGACGGAGCAAUGCCGCGUGAGUGAUGAAGGUUUUCGGAUUGUAAAACUCUGUUGUUAGGGAAGAACAAGUACCGUUCAAAUAGGGCGGUACCUUGACGGUACCUAACCAGAAAGCCCCGGCUAACUACGUGCCAGCAGCCGCGGUAAUACGUAGGGGGCGAGCGUUGUCCGGAAUUAUUGGGCGUAAAGGGCACGCAGGCGGUCUUCUAAGUCUGAUGUGAAAUCCCACGGCUUAACCGUGGUAGGUCAUUGGAAACUGGAGGACUUGAGUACGGAAGAGGAGAGUGGAAUUCCACGUGUAGCGGUGAAAUGCGUAGAGAUGUGGAGGAACACCAGUGGCGAAGGCGACUCUCUGGUCUGUAACUGACGCUGAGGUGCGAAAGCGUGGGUAGCGAACAGGAUUAGAUACCCUGGUAGUCCACGCCGUAAACGAUGAGUGCUAGGUGUCAAGGGGUUUCCGCCCCUUGGUGCUGCAGUUAACGCAUUAAGCACUCCGCCUGGGGAGUACGGCCGCAAGGCUGAAACUCAAAAGAAUUGACGGGGGCCCGCACAAGCGGUGGAGCAUGUGGUUUAAUUCGAAGCAACGCGAAGAACCUUACCAGGUCUUGACAUCCUCUGACAACCCUAGAGAUAGGGCAUUCCCUUCGGGGACAGAGUGACAGGUGGUGCAUGGUUGUCGUCAGCUCGUGUCGUGAGAUGUUGGGUUAAGUCCCGUAACAAGUGCAACCCUUGAUAUUAGUUGCCAGCAUUUAGUUGGGCACUUUAAGGUGUCUGCCGGUGACAAGCCGGACGAAGGUGGGGAUGACGUCAAAUCAUCAUCCCCUCUACGACCUCGGCUACACACGGGCCACAAUGGAUGGAACAAAGGGCAGAGAAACCGCGAGGUGAAGCGAAUCCCAUAAAACCAUUCUCAGUUCGGAUUGUAGGCUGCAAUUCGCCUACAUGAAGCAGGAAUCGCUAGUAAUCGCGGAUCAUCAUGCCUCGGCCAAUAUGUUCCCGGGCCUUGUACACACCGCCCGUCCCCCCCCGAGAGAUAACAACACCCGAAGUCGGUGAGGUAACCCUUACGGGAGCCAACCGCCGAAGGUGGGGCCAAUGAUUGGGGUG
RNAcentral lists this ribosomal RNA (1493 nucleotides) under uncultured bacterium. RNAcentral describes it as "partial 16S ribosomal RNA". The stretch from base 293 to 1493 matches the Rfam family "Bacterial small subunit ribosomal RNA". The record is from RNAcentral.